CAGUCGCCGCGGUAAUACAGAGGGUGCGAGCGUUAAUCGGAUUUACUGGGCGUAAAGCGUGCGUAGGCGGCUUCUUAAGUCGGAUGUGAAAUCCCUGAGCUUAACUUAGGAAUUGCAUUCGAUACUGGGAAGCUAGAGUAUGGGAGAGGAUGGUAGAAUUCCAGGUGUAGCGGUGAAAUGCGUAGAGAUCUGGAGGAAUACCAAUGGCGAAGGCAGCCAUCUGGCCUAAUACUGACGCUGAGGUACGAAAGCAUGGGGAGCAAACAGGAUUAGAUACCCCUGUAGUCCCUGUCUCUUAUAC
Molecule: ribosomal RNA, 301 nt
Filed under: uncultured bacterium
Lineage: Bacteria
Description: partial 16S ribosomal RNA
Rfam family: Bacterial small subunit ribosomal RNA
Source: RNAcentral